UACGUAGGGGGCGAGCGUUGUCCGGAAUCACUGGGCGUAAAGGGCGCGUAGGCGGCCGAUCGCGGCGGCGGUGAAAGCCCGGGGCUCAACCCCGGAGGGUCCGUCGCGACGGGUCGGCUCAGGGGCUCGCAGGGGAGCAGGGAAUCCCUGGUGUAGCGGUGGAAUGCGUAGAGAUCAGGGGGAACUCCGACGGCGAAGGCACUGCUCUGGGCGAAGCCCGACGCUGAGGCGCGAAAGCUGGGGGAGCGAACGGG
This 254-nucleotide ribosomal RNA is filed under the name uncultured bacterium. RNAcentral describes it as "partial 16S ribosomal RNA". It matches the Rfam family "Bacterial small subunit ribosomal RNA", at positions 524 to 776 of the family's 1533-position model. The record is from RNAcentral.